Long non-coding RNA from Bubalus bubalis (water buffalo), 964 nucleotides. RefSeq lists it as uncharacterized. Lineage: Eukaryota; Metazoa; Chordata; Mammalia; Artiodactyla; Bovidae. The transcript has 2 exons. The record is from RefSeq and is a predicted model, not a curated record.
UGCCCACUGUUUGCCUCUCCAUCUUCUGUCUUCCGAGGAUAGAUCUCCCAGGCAGGUUCUUGGGGGCAUUUUGAAAAUUGAAUUUGGAGGAAAGGCUGCAGCCAAGAAGCCCUCAGGCUAGAGCUGGUGAAGAAAUCUCUCAGAGAGAACCCCUGAUUUUAUCUGGGCAGGUGACCUUCCAGAAUGUCCAGCUUCCUUCGCAGUAAGGUGUGGCCAUGUGGUGUGGCCAUGUGAUGUAGCCACAUGACUAAGUUCUGCCAAUGGGAUGUGAGCCAAAAUAUUGUGUGCCGCUUCUGGGUUAAGCCUUUAAGAGUAAGGGGUGUGUCUACCCUUUCCCUCUUUCUACUAGCAGGGACACGGGUGGGAGAACGAACCAUCCUGGUCACAAAGAUGAGGGAAGCAUCCAAAAGAUGACGGAGCAACAAGAGGGGAAAAGCUUUGCCAAGGAAAGUCACUAUACUCCACAGGAGAGAGAGAGAAUCUUCUAACGUGUCAAAGCCAUUGGAUACCACUUCCUGCCUGCUUGAAUGGAUUUUCUCCCCAUAUCAAAGUCUGUGUCAGCCUGUGGAGGCCACCUCUCAGUGCUCCCUGCCCCACUGAAAUGAACCAGGGCAGGUUUGGGGUACCGCAAGGACCAACAAAGAAAGUUUGGGCAAUCCAUCUUGAUACACAAUCCUUGAAAAGUUUCUCUGCCCACAUGCCAAGGAACCAAGGCCUGCAGAGAACAGAGAAACCAAGCAGACUUCAGCCCAAGAGCCUGCGGGGGAACUAAUCCCCUCCAACAGCCACGUGGAGUGAGGUUGGAAGUGAAUUCUUCCCCAGAAGACGAUUGCGGUUCCUGGCCCACCCCUUGAUAGCAGCCUUGUUAGAUUCCCAAGCCAGAGGACCCAACUAAGCCACAUCUGGAUUCCUGACCCAUAGAAACUGUGAGAUAAUAAAUGAAUGCUGUUUUAAGCUGUUUAAA